CGGGGCGUAGCGCAGCUCGGUAGCGCGCCUGCUUUGGGAGCAGGAUGUCGCAUGUUCAAAUCAUGUCGCCCCG
RNAcentral lists this transfer RNA (73 nucleotides) under Humidesulfovibrio sp. RNAcentral's name for it is "tRNA-Pro". It matches the Rfam family "tRNA". From Rfam's summary of the family: Transfer RNA (tRNA) molecules are approximately 80 nucleotides in length. Lineage: Bacteria; Pseudomonadati; Thermodesulfobacteriota; Desulfovibrionia; Desulfovibrionales; Desulfovibrionaceae. The record is from RNAcentral.